AAAGCUUUGAUUGAGAUCGAUGAAGAAGGUACUGAAGCUGCUGCUGCAACUGCU
Molecule: small RNA, 54 nt
Filed under: Arabidopsis thaliana (thale cress)
Lineage: Eukaryota; Viridiplantae; Streptophyta; Magnoliopsida; Brassicales; Brassicaceae
Description: ATSL061770
Source: RNAcentral